GGGGCCGGGAGCCGCCACCGGGCCGGGAGAGCGGUGCGGCCUCGGGCCGGGGCUGUUACCGAGGGCCGGGGGUGCCCGGGUUUGUGCCGGGCUGUGCGAGCUCAGAGAACCCCGCUCUUGUUUUCCCUUGCAGCGAGAAGGCUGUAUGUGCGGAGGUGCAGGCGGAGGGAAGCGCUGCGUUGCGAAAAUCCCCUCCGACACCUGGAGAGGACUUGGUCGCGUUCCCUCCCACCCCUUUAGCUCUGCUUCACUUCCUCGUUUCAUCUUUCGUUACCUAACAACUCCAGCCAAACAGUCGGAUCUCCCGUGCGCACCUGUCUGUCCUGCUGCUGCUGCUUUCGGAGAUGCCUUUUUCUUUGUUCUUUAUGGCGAUCGGUGCAAAGGCAGGUGGUUGUUGGGGAAGGCACGCCAAGGGCAGCACCUUCCCGCCGUGCCCGUCGUCGCUCCAAACUGUUACUUUGGAUUUGCAGCCUUGGCUGGGCUGAAACUUGCAGAGGGGUUUCAUUUCUGUAGGAGGGGCAGGUGUUGUGCUUGUGUUGCCUUCAGAAGUACACUAUCUGAAGAAAGAGAGCUCUUGCCACUUUUCAACACUUUCCUUUUUAACCAUUUUCCUGGGUACUUCAGGCAGCUGUCCAUCUCCUGUGGAAUUCCUAUCUGUGCAUACUGCGUGUUGCAUAAAUCUCUUUACGUGAUCGAACUUCAUGUGGUGCCACAUGGAACCACCUGCCUGCAUUCACACUGUCACUCUGUGCAGGUCUGUGCUGCUGAGUAUCUCUCUGUCCCACCAGAUCUGCAGAGAAGCAGCAUCUCACCCAGCUCACAUCAAGACCGCUCCUCUGUUUGCAUGCAGUUAAGCUUCUCUCGAGGGAACUUUUUCUGCUGCGAAGUAUAGAGAAUCAGCUUAGUUCUUCAGCAUGCAGCUGAACCCAGGAGGAACAAAACUGCUUGUUUCACCUUUCCCUAACUGCUUUUGUGCAGGCUAGACCAGGACAGGGGAUCAAUAGCCUGUGUCAGCUGAAGAUCCCUUAAAGAAAAGUAACCCCGGAUGCACAGUGCUUUAUUGCAGUAGUUGCAGAAAAAUCUUACAUGUAUUUUUGGAGAAAAUCUCAGGAAUACUAAUUCUCCAGACUGUGAGUAGUACCUUUUUUUUACAUCUAGCUUCCCCCACAGAAUACGUCCACGUGAAGAAUUGCAGCAAUAGAACUCAUUAUCUCUAUGUAGCCAAAGUCUAACUUGCCUGAAUACGCGUCCAUCAGUAUUUAUUUAGGCUUUCUGCAAAAAUGUCUCUAUUUACUGUCUGUUGGGAAUCAGGUCUCGUAUUCUUCUCGUUCAUUUCUGGACUAGCAGCAGUCUUAGCAAAUGCAUUGGAUGAGGAUUCUGGAGAGUCUUACCAGCUCUCCUGUGUAUCUCCAAAAUGCUUUUCCUGCUAUAGAUAGCUUUGGAGAUCAGUGCUUUUUGUUCCCAAUUAGUCACGCUGCUUCCUGCUUCUGGUGUAGGCUGCAGGAGCUGGUCCCCGGGCUGCUGGUCUCUGAGAAGCUGAAGCCAGACACAUGGACAGGGUGUCCCACUGGGAGUAUGCAAGGUUGGGGGUUUGGUUCAUCCUGAAGGCCAUACCCUAAUGCAGAUAUGAGUGGUGCAGAAGCUCAGUCGCAUGGAGAGAUGCUCUGCACACUGAAAAAUGAGUCUGUUGAGAACUGUGCCUGUUCACGUCUGACUGAUCAUUCACAUCCUAUUUCUGACUGGUUCUGGAAAGGAUAGGUAAGUGCUGUGAAUGCUACUAUGCUGGAGAGGAUUUCAGAGUCUUUAAAAGCUUAGAAAGUCAAAUACAUGUAAAAGAUUAUUUAUCUUCUGACACCUUGAAAGAAAAAUGCCCUUACAUAAUCCAGCACUUAAAUUUUUACAUUAGCAAGUUUUGUGCAUCAUGUCACACUGGAGCUGUUUUGUUUGCCCUCAUGAGAUUUUAAGAGACUUUUGUAUUUCUAACAUUUGCAGAUAUUGGCUGGAAGUUCAGUAAAAGUCCCGAUCAUUUUGCAAGCCCCUACACAUGGUUUGCUUACCAUCACUGACAGUGCUCUUGAAUUUCCUCUGCUUGGUGUCUAAAGGUUGAUGGUUACUAUAACGACUGACCCAGUCAGCUAAUAGUGAAGGCUGCUAUUGAUUCUAGAAGAAUUUCAGUGCCACUUAAGGAACCUUUAUUUUCUUCCCACAAAACUUGUGAGGAGCAAGCAUUGCUGUUUCAGAGAACUCUCAGUCCCAGUACUAGAUAAUUUCCUCAGCCCUAUUUAUUUUUUCAGUUUUACAGAGCAGUUGAAGCCUAACUGCUAAUCUGUCACUGCUGGAAGGUAUCUAGGGGAGAUCAACAAAAUUAGCUGUCCAAACACACAUCAGAUUCAGUUUAAUUACUUUUGAAAAUGUUGUCCAGUGAAAAGUUACAGUUGUGUUUUUCUUCACUGGCGGAAGGUGAUUUAAUGCGGACCACAGUUGAUAUGCUGCUGUGACUGUUUUAGGUGUCUGUUUUUGGAGUGGGGAGGGAAAGGAAAGAAUUGAAAUUUUGGACCACUGCAGCAAGUUGGCUGAGAUGGUCAUCUCAAAAAACGUGUUUUUUUAGAUAUCUUGAAAAUUGGCAUAUGGUUAGAGAAGGAGUACUCUGGGUAUUGCUGCCUCUGAAAGACGCACAGUGUGAGCUCAGUGUUAAUAUAGGGCACCAAAAUAAUGCUAAGCAGGGCUGGUCCAGAAGGAAGCUCCCCCCAGCAAUGCAAAAGCCUCAGCUGGAGCUUGUGAGUUCUUGUGCACCAAAAAGAAAAUCAUAGAAGUGGAGAGGAAUUGGAUGCAUCCCUACAGUUUAGGUGCAUGCAGCACCAGCUGUUACUAAUCUGUCCAUUAAACUUUCAGUGUUUCUUAGAAGGUCAUCUCUUAAGGAAAAUGCGCUACUAUCUCUCACUGGAUAAAGAUUUUUUUUUCUUAUAUUAGAGAAAAAAACUCAUUGCUUCUUUUACAUCAAAUGGCAAAAAGAUUUUUUUUUUUUGUGACCUCACCUCUGAAUUUCUUUUCCUCAGUACCAGGAUUUCUGGUUUCAGGGUGUCACACAAGUACCCACAAGGUACUCUUAGCAACUAGACAGGCUUUUUGUUCUGUAGACUUCUGUUUGAAAUCUGCUUUUCACUCCAAAUGCCCUUGAUCCACUAGAAUUCUGUUCAGAAAAUGCCACUCAGAUAUUUUUAAUACUAGGGUUUUUAUAGAUGCAAGGCAGGGAGUAAAAAGGGAAAACUAAUGUGCGAACUGAAGAGUUUAACAAAAUAAUAAUUUUCAAAUGAAGUCUUAAUCUUUUUAGAAAACAUAAAGCCCCCCCAUGUUUUCUUUUAUAACUUGAGACAUUCUAAAAAGCAGUGAGCUUUAGAGUGUAUAUCAGUCCGUAUGUUUCCGUAUGUUGUAUGGAUCCAGAUGUGUGGUGUGUGAAGGUAGGAUGAGGACUCAAUUAACAAUUGAGGUGGUGCUGUGAAGCUUUUCAGCUUCAGACUAGCCAUCUCUGAUUGCAUGUUCUGUAAUGUGAACUAUUCCAGCAGAUUAUCUUCUAGGGAGUGCAUAAAAAGGGUUUAAAAACUGGCAGAACAGUAGUUUACUGCCUCACCUUGAAAGGAAAUAAAUAAAUAAAUAAAAGAAUACUGUGUGCUGAAUUUGAAGCAUCAUGGAGUCAAGAGAUGGAUUACAGUACGCCAAGAUUAUAUAAACCUAGGACACUUUUCUCACAAAAAGUUUGAGCUGCUCUGCUGGAAGCAUUGUGGUGUGUGUAACUGUGGUUCAAAUAACAGUCACGGUGUUUUUUUUACUUACCUUUACUUUCCAGAGUUGGUAUUUUUGUCUCAGUGUUCGGUAAGUUUAGUUGCUACAUUAUAGAAUAAAAUGCCUUCAAGGUUGUUGUUUGGUCAUGUGAGGAGUCUGGAAAUGACUGAAACAAAUGACUGGAACAUAACUACUUCUUCCAUAGUGUGUGUUUGUUUUUUCCAGCGCCUCAUUCAUGUAUACUUAGUUUAUAUAUAGCAAGUAAACAUGAAUGUAUGGCGUUUUCAUGCGUUUAAAUUAAAUGUCAACUCUCAUAAUCUAAUGCUUAAUACAGCCGAGAAAGGCUUUUUUUCUUUUUCUUUUUUUUUUUUUUGGAAGAGCCUUUAAGUAGUUGUGAUUUAUGUCAUUGUUAUGUUAGUGUCUACUUGGAUUGCUUACAUUGUACUGGAUUUCUGGAAACCUGCAACUGCAGAAAGAAAUUCCUGAUUUGUUUAUAGUUAACACAACAAUUUGUUCUGGAUUAGCCCUCAGAUUGCAAAGCACUAUAUGGAUUCCUCAGUUGUGGUUAAAGUAACAGUGCUUUAAUGUGGUAAACAAAGAACUAGUAAGCAGUUUGUGGUAUUUUUAGUUUUGUUCAUCUGCAGAUAAAAUUCUCACCCCCAAAGCAGCAUUUCUUUAAAGCUUUGGGAAAGUGAUUUUUGCCUGUUUUACUUAUCAGGUGAAGAAAUAGUCAAGUCAUCUGCCAGAGAAGUAAUGGAAUACAUAACGCUUCAUCAUUGUCAUUCUAUGGCAGAUACAAAGGCAGCCUUUGGAAGGCUGCUGUCCUCAUAUUACAAAAGUGAGGGGUCUAAACUGCUAGGAGAGAAGGUUUGGGAGGUAUAAGCAAAAUGGUUCCUUGCUAAAGCAGCCCACUAGGGUGCUGCAGCAUGGAGAAUGACAUACAGAACUAAUAGAAACACAGCAUGCAUAAAGGCCAGGCGCUGGGAACAGUUUGUGAAGUUACUCAUGUCCCAGACUUGGACAAGAAAGAAGGAACUGGGCUUAAUGCCUGCAGCCUGCAACUCAGUGGUACUUUGAAAUGGGAUCAUGCCACAAAAAAAAAGGGUCUGCUCAAGACACAGCUUAAAUCUCUGGGGCUUCUUCAGCCUUGGCUGAAACCAACAGGGGCUUCAGCUCUGUGCUUUCAUACAGCAGGAGUCUGGAUCUGAGGACAACAGCCAUCACAGUGUCAGAUCAUGCCCACCUUCAGCUUCUGUCAGAUGAAGACCAAUUACCCAGACAACAGUGACCACUCACAAGUUUCACUGCUGUAUUUAUUUUACCAGUGAUCCUGCCUUUAUGGGAUUCACCAGGCCUCUUAGCCUUUUCAAAUUUCUUAAAGCUGAAACAUGUUUCUCCUACUUGCUUCUGCACUACAAAUACCAAAAUGCAUCAAAACUGACCCUCUAUGCUUUUGUUAGAGAAAAAGAUUGUGUAGUCAUCAAAUUUAGAAAAAAAUGAGUCCAAUUUACAUCUUCACUGGAGAAAACCAGGCUCACUGAAUAGAUGUUUUGUUUGAUUAGGGUGUGGUUGAAGCUUUUGAUAGCAAUAUGACAGGCUUCAGCAGAAUCAUGCCUGCAGUAUGAGAGCAUGAACCCAUCUGGGGUCACUCAGACCAGGUAGCCCGACCUAACAAGAGCUCUGAAGCCCUCUUUGAAGCAAACCCAAGCUGUGCUUGGUCAUAAGCAAAGAAACUUCAAAACACCUUCACUGAUCUUCCAGGUAAUUGUGCUUGUUAGCACCACUUUGCUGGGGUGCAGGGUGCUAAGUCCCAUGAAUUGCCUAGGGUCUCCUCCCCAGAUACAAUGCUUACACAUUCCAAUAGACUCUCUGCACAAGAACUCAUGGUGCUGCUCUGAGGAACAAAGGUGCAGAUGUGGGCAGGGGAAAAAUCACGACACUGCAGACAGAUACAGCACUACUCACUGCUGGGCUAUUUCUCAAAUUUACAGAAUCCAUCUGGAACAGGAAGGAGAAAAGAAAAAAAUGUAUGUAUUUGCUACACAGAGACCCCUUAGCACAAAGGUCUAAUUUGCUAAAAUUUGGAUUUUCAAUCAUACUUUCUGGAGCACUAACUGACCUUGCUUUACAACCAAAAAGAAAUCCAAAGCAAAUAAACGCUACACUCAAAAAACCUACAGGGUUACAAGGUCAGGGCUCCCAUUUGCGUCUCCUUUGGAUAUGUACACUGAACAAAACACUGUCACCAACUGAGUGCCUGACUAGCAGACACUUACUGCAGCAUAUGUUUUUCAGACUGCUAAUUUCACAGAUUAUUUACUUCCACACAUGAAAUACAAACUCCAGCUUAAUGCCUGCGGCCUGCAACUCACUGGUACUUUGAAAUGGGAAACUUGGUUCAUGUUUAAAGCUUUGUAGAGAACUUAAACCUUGAGCCCAGGUCUUCAUUUUGGACAACCGUGUGUUUCUUUGCUACUUCAGCUAAGGGAAAUGGUCAUUACUAAAGUCAUACUGUAAGCAAGACAUUGAGUUGGUGAAUUGCACUUUUUAAAUUAAGUCAGUGUGUUUGUUGUAAGUUCAUCCAGGACCUGUAUCUUAGUCAAGCUGUGGUGUGGGAAUCUAUAUGAAAAUGGGAUUAGAUUCAGCUGUCUGGCACUGCUUGUUCUUGGAAGGCAGUGCAGCCUUGUAUAAAAGCACAGAAGUGAAUAGCUGGAAAUGCCUUUUCAAAGCUUCUGGCACAGACAGAUUUCUCUACGCAAACUCAAGGAGAAAUUUUUUUCUGCUCUGCAGAGUGGGAAGGGGAAACAGUGACAGCGUCAUCUUGGAAUACUUCAGGUUAGAUGGAAGCAGAAGAGGUGAUCUAGUCUAGCCUACUGCUCCAAGCAGGAUCUUUUUCAUUAGCAAUGUAUUUACUAACUCCUUUCACUUAAUAGCAUCUUUUUUUUUCUUCUUCCAAAAUUCAGCUUAAUCUGCACAUAGACAUGUAUUUGGCAUACCAGCACCAAUUGAACAGACUAAAUAAUGAGGUGGAAAAUAUAUGCAGAAAGAGGUGGUGACUGAAUUACUUCAAUGGAAGCUCAUUAAAAAAAAAAAAAAAAGAUAAUGAGGCAGUGGUCUUACCUGCCUCCUCAUUCAGGUCUUACCCAUGUGAACUUCAGAUGUUCGCACAAUCUGAAGAGUGUCCUGAGAUUAAGUAUUUGAAUUAUUUUGCUUCCAAGAAGAAUGGUGCUAGAACGCAACUGCUCACCACAGUUUGUCUUGCUACUGAUACGGUUUUGAAAACUUUGGUCUAUGAACCAAGGGCCAAUAUUGAAGGCAGUAGGUGGCUUUAACUUAAGUUUUGCUUUGUUUUUGAUGCAAGGGAAGUGCUACCUUUGUUACCAUUUGGCAGUCUUCCGUUUUGGCUCAAAUGCAGUUUGAAGGUUAAUGCUAUAAGUCUUUCAGAGAUACCUGUGUUAAUUAAGCAUUCGUGUUGCUUUUUCCAUUGUCCUCUCUAUGUAUAGCAUGAAGUUUAGGUAAGUAACUAUUUGAGCGCUUUCAUCACAUGCUGGAGGAGGAUAUUACUAAAACUGUUUUAUGUGGAUCUACCCAGAGUCUAAAACGCAUGAAUUUAGAGAAGUGUCUGCAGUGGCAUAGAGGUCAGUGUACCAUAUUUGUUUGCAUGAUUGUAUGCAGCCCUGGAGGUUGAUUACUGUGACAGUGUAAUUACUUUAAUUGGUGAAUGUAAGCUGGCUGGGAUUUAUACAGAGAUGUAACUAAAGGGACACUUAUAAAAGCAUGUAUAUUUAUAAUGAGACAAAAUAGGUUUUAUAUAGUUUCUGUUUACAUUAGUCACUACAGUAAGUGCUCUUGAUUAACUGUUCCAUUUUCUGUCUUACAGCUUGCCUUGAAGGGAUCUAAUUACGCUGGUCUAUUAGAACGGCAUCGCGUUCAUACAAAAAAUGUGGAGCAUGUUGUAGACAGUUUACGGAGCGAGAAGAUAGAAGUCCGUCUUGUUAAACGUCGAGAAUAUAAUGAAGAGACAGUUCGAUGGGCAGAUGCUGUUAUAUCUGCGGGAGGUGAUGGUACAAUGCUGUUGGCAGCCAGUAAGGUCUUUGAUAAAUUUAAACCAGUUAUUGGAGUAAAUACUGAUCCUGAAAGAUCAGAGGGUCACCUGUGCUUGCCUGUGAGAUAUACACAUUCAUUUCCUGAAGCACUACAGAAGCUUUAUCGUGGUGAGUUCAGGUAUGAUCCACUGAUUUUUUUUUUUGUUUGUUUGUUUUGUUUUGUUUGUUUUACAAUACAUUGAUUGGAUAAUGUUUAAUAAUGUGUGAUCUAUAAGGAAGAAGUGAUGCUUAGAAUAAUGCUUAAUAAUGUGUGAUCUGUAAGGAGGAAGUGAUGCUUAGUAAAAUCAUAAUGGUUCAAAUUAUUAAUUCUGUGUAAAUGUUUACUGUAUUGAAAAACAUAUGGUUCAGAGUGGUGCUGGACUGUAAAGGAUAAAGUUAGCUACUGGUUCCUGGGAAAAAAAGGCAUUUGGCAUGACCUUCACCAAUUGAUUUUCUUUUCUGACUUAGCAAAUGCAUAAACAAGGGAUGGUAGUCUUAUGAUGGGUGUGUUGCUUUAUGUAUUUCAACACUCACAAACAAUGUACAGUGUACAAUUGUACAUAGUACAGUGCCUGGUAAUGCUAAUAGAAGCUGCUGAAGCCUACACAGUUAGGAAAUGGUAAGUUUGCUGUAGAUGGUUUUGGUGAUUAAGGUAUAGUGACUUAAAUUUUGUUACUAGAGUAGUCUUAGGGAAAGCUUUUCUUUAUUAUAAAGGUAACUCAAUGCUUUCAAUACUAGAUAUUCUCAAAAUAGUUAAACUCUCUUGAACUAAGGAGGAAGCAAUUUGAAUUUUAAAGGACAAACUAAGGGACAGUUUUUCACAGUCUCCUAUUUAAAACAAGAGAUAUUGUUCUGUGGUAUCCUCGUUUUAUGAUUUUUGAUUCGUAUUCCACAUCAUAACAUCACGCAGUGCACUGUCAGUUGCCAGACUGCCCUCUUUGCUCCCUAGCCGUCUUGCCUACAGCAUUAGAGUAAGGACUUCAGUUUUGGAAACUCUUUAUUUGAUUUAUUAGCUUCCAAUCCUACUGUAUUAUAUUAUCUCACAUUCCACUGUUAUAUUUAGUAAACUAAGUUGUUUUUUUUCUCUUAGCUUGUUGCCACUGUUUUCCUUGUUAGGCCCAUCUCACUACCUUUUUUUUUCCUUCCCUUCCUCCGUUUCCUUUUCCAGGGUGUGGGUCUGUGGGUCCCUUCACUCCUUAUCACUGAACUAGACUGAACCAGGCCACACGGUGAUAUGUGGUGUGUUAACAUUCCAGAAAUAGUUCUGUGAUGGCAAGCAGUCAAACAGAAGCAACUCAUUCACAUUAUAAUAUAUUGUAAUUAUUUUUUGUUAUACUUCUAGAAUACUUAAUUUGUAGCUUGAAGCAUUCUCGCAUUUGUGCCAUGAAAAAUUCUAGAAUGAGGUGAAUAUAGACAUCAGGUUUGAUUAUACUUAAUUAAAGGAGUUUCAGUACUUGUUACUAAAUGAAACUGUAUUUUCAAAUCAAAUGUCGUCAGGCUUAGAAAGCAGAAGCUUUUAACUUUCCAUCUUGCUAAGUUGUUUUGUUAAAGCUGUUAAAGUCCCUUGCUAUUCUAGCCACUUGUAACAUUUUGUUGGAUGGCAUGUUGAAAUUUUUAUUGUUUUGCUCCUGUUGUUGCACUAACAGGACUAAAGCCUCACCAGAGCAAAACAGAAAAGAUCUUUCUGAUUAUUGCUUCAGAGUAAGUUUGAAAACUGAUAUUCCUAAGCAAGGACUUGAGUGGUUGUUCUCUGAUUUAUUUAAGCAUAAGGAAUCACAGAAUCACAGAAUGGCCAAGGUUGGAAGGGACCUCAAGGAUCA
This is a non-coding RNA of Meleagris gallopavo (turkey), 9685 nucleotides long. NCBI's taxonomy places the organism in Eukaryota, Metazoa, Chordata, Aves, Galliformes, Phasianidae. The record is from RefSeq and is a predicted model, not a curated record.